RNAcentral lists this ribosomal RNA (497 nucleotides) under uncultured bacterium. Its description in RNAcentral is "partial 16S ribosomal RNA". It matches the Rfam family "Bacterial small subunit ribosomal RNA", at positions 28 to 507 of the family's 1533-position model. The record is from RNAcentral.
GAUGAACGCUGGCGGCGUGCCUAAUACAUGCAAGUCGAGCGAACAGAUGAGGAGCUUGCUCCUCUGACGUUAGCGGCGGACGGGUGAGUAACACGUGGAUAACCUACCUAUAAGACUGGGAUAACUUCGGGAAACCGGAGCUAAUACCGGAUAAUAUAUUGAACCGCAUGGUUCAAUAGUGAAAGACGGUUUUGCUGUCACUUAUAGAUGGAUCCGCGCUGCAUUAGCUAGUUGGUAAGGUAACGGUUUACCAAGGCAACGAUGCGUAGCCGACCUGUGAGGGUGAUCGGCCACACUGGGACUGAGACACGGUCCAGACUCUUACGGGAGGCAGCGGUAGGGAAUCUUCCGCGAUGGGCGAAAGCCUGACGGAGCAACGCCGCGUGAGUGAUGAAGGUCUUCGGAUCGUAAAACUCUGUUAUUAGGGAAGAACAAAUGUGUAAGUAACUAUGCACGUCUUGACGGUACCUAAUCAGAAAGCCACGGCUAACUACGUG